RNAcentral lists this ribosomal RNA (120 nucleotides) under Rhizoprionodon lalandii (Brazilian sharpnose shark). Lineage: Eukaryota; Metazoa; Chordata; Chondrichthyes; Carcharhiniformes; Carcharhinidae. The record is from RNAcentral.
GCUUACGGCCAUACCAGCCUGAUUACGCCCGAUCUCGUCCGAUCUCGGAAGCUAAGCAGGGUCGGGCCUGGUCAGUACUUGGAUGGGAGACCGCCUGGGAAUACCAGGUGCUGUAAGCUU